RNAcentral lists this ribosomal RNA (250 nucleotides) under uncultured bacterium. Its description in RNAcentral is "partial 16S ribosomal RNA". It matches the Rfam family "Bacterial small subunit ribosomal RNA", at positions 525 to 774 of the family's 1533-position model. The record is from RNAcentral.
ACGUAGGUGGCAAGCGUUGUCCGGAAUUACUGGGCGUAAAGGGCGUGUAGGCGGCGAUUUAAGUCAGACGUGAAAGCCCAGGGCUUAACCUUGGGACUGCGUUUGAAACUGGAUGGCUAGAGGAUCGGAGAGGGCAGUGGAAUUCCCAGUGUAGCGGUGAAAUGCGUAGAUAUUGGGAGGAACACCAGUGGCGAAGGCGACUGCCUGGACGACACCUGACGCUGAGGCGCGAAAGCUAGGGGAGCAAACG